This 407-nucleotide ribosomal RNA is filed under the name uncultured bacterium. RNAcentral describes it as "bacterial SSU rRNA". It matches the Rfam family "Bacterial small subunit ribosomal RNA", at positions 355 to 776 of the family's 1533-position model. The record is from RNAcentral.
UGGGGAAUAUUGCGCAAUGGGGGAAACCCUGACGCAGCAACGUCGCGUGCAGGAAGAAGGUCUUCGGAUUGUAAACUGUUGUCGCAGGGGAAGAAAAAGAUGACGGUACCCUGUGAGAAAGUCACGGCUAACUACGUGCCAGCAGCCGCGGUAAUACGUAGGUGACAAGCGUUGUCCGGAUUUACUGGGUGUAAAGGGCGCGUAGGCGGGAUAGCAAGUCAGGAGUGAAAUACCGAUGCUCAACAUCGGAACUGCUUUUGAAACUGUUAUUCUUGAGUAUCGGAGAGGAAAGCGGAAUUCCCAGUGUAGCGGUGAAAUGCGUAGAUAUUGGGAGGAACACCAGUGGCGAAGGCGGCUUUCUGGACGACAACUGACGCUGAGGCGCGAAAGUGUGGGGAGCAAACAGG